RNAcentral lists this ribosomal RNA (497 nucleotides) under uncultured bacterium. RNAcentral describes it as "partial 16S ribosomal RNA". It matches the Rfam family "Bacterial small subunit ribosomal RNA", at positions 28 to 507 of the family's 1533-position model. The record is from RNAcentral.
GAUGAACGCUGGCGGCGUGCCUAAUACAUGCAAGUCGAGCGAACGGACGAGAAGCUUGCUUUUCUGAUGUUAGCGGCGGACGGGUGAGUAACACGUGGAUAACCUACCUAUAAGACUGGGAUAACUUCGGGAAACCGGAGCUAAUACCGGAUAAUAUUUUGAACCGCAUGGUUCAAAAGUGAAAGACGGUCUUGCUGUCACUUAUAGAUGGAUCCGCGCUGCAUUAGCUAGUUGGUAAGGUAACGGCUUACCAAGGCAACGAUGCAUAGCCGACCUGAAAGGGUGAUCGGCCACACUGGAACUGAGACACGGUCCAGACUCCUACGGGAGGCAGCAGUAGGGAAUCUUCCGCAAUGGGCGAAAGCCUGACGGAGCAACGCCGCGUGAGUGAUGAAGGUCUUCGGAUCGUAAAACUCUGUUAUUAGGGAAGAACAUAUGUGUAAGUAACUGUGCACAUCUUGACGGUACCUAAGCAGAAAGCCACGGCUAACUACGUG